Molecule: non-coding RNA, 83 nt
Filed under: Clostridiaceae bacterium
Lineage: Bacteria; Bacillati; Bacillota; Clostridia; Eubacteriales; Clostridiaceae
Description: c-di-GMP sequence
Rfam family: c-di-GMP-I riboswitch aptamer
About the family: GEMM was predicted in a large-scale screen for bacterial structured RNA regulatory elements.
Source: RNAcentral
UCUUAGAAAAGGCAAACCUAGUGAAAACUAGGGACGCAAAACUACGGGCCUAAAGCACAAGCUAUGGUAGCCGGGUUGCCGAA